AGCCCUCCGAAGAGGACCAGAACGAACACCACUGGCAGUACUUCAGAGUUGGUGUUGACCCCGAUCAAGACCCACCACCCAACAAUGACAGCUUUCAAGUCUUACAAGGGGACGGCCCAGAUUCUGCCAGAGGAAACCGGACAAAACAGGAGAGCGCAUGGAUAUUCAGGCUGUGGUACAGCUUUGAUCACAAUUACCUGAAGCCCAUCCUCACACACAGCGGUCCCCCACUAACCACCACGCUCCCCGCCUGGUGUGGCUUACUAGCUCGAUGUCUGACCAGUCCCCAGGUGUAUGAUAACCAAGAGCCACUGAGAGAGGAAGACUCUGAUUUCAUCCUGACUGAAGGCGACCUGACAUUGACCUACGGGGACAGCACAGUGACUGCAAAUGGCUCCUCAAGUUCGCACACCGCCUCCACAAGUCUGGAGGGCAGCCGGAGAACGAAGAGCAGCUCGGAGGAAGUGCUGGAGCGAGACCUGGGAAUGGGGGACCAGAAGGUUUCGAGCCGGGGCACCCGCCUAGUGUUUCCUCUGGAAGAUAAUGCUUGACUUUCCCCCCAAGCCCUGGCGCGAUGGGGUAGGCUCCCGAUGGGACUGAAGAUUUGAAAAUACAUCCAUGAACAUUUCAACAUGGAACGAAGAAUUAUAGUUCCUUCUCUGGCUAUAUCCAUAAAGAAGUAGUUAUGAAACGUUUAAAACCAAA
Molecule: small RNA, 705 nt
Filed under: Pongo abelii (Sumatran orangutan)
Lineage: Eukaryota; Metazoa; Chordata; Mammalia; Primates; Hominidae
Description: processed transcript
Source: RNAcentral